This 781-nucleotide long non-coding RNA is filed under the name Fukomys damarensis (Damara mole-rat). RNAcentral describes it as "lncRNA (ENSFDAG00000027034.1)". The record is from RNAcentral. Lineage: Eukaryota; Metazoa; Chordata; Mammalia; Rodentia; Bathyergidae.
AUGCAGUUGAAUCUGAUAGCGCCUGGUUGCCAAGGGAAGGAUGUCAUUUCUUCAUGCACAAAGGAUGCUCUGUCUAGAAACCAUGGAUAGCACCUGGCCUGAGAGACAGAGCCAAGCCUUGGCACCAAGACCCACAGGAGCACGCACCUGCACCUCCCCGUCACCCCACCCAGUCCAUGGAGAGGGCAAAUGACAACUCACUGCACGCCUGCUGGGGCUGAGCGCUGCACCCCAUUCUCUACCUGCAAAACCCAAUCAUUUCAAAAACUGUGCUUGAACCCCUUUGAUGUGACCAGCAACUUAAUUCAGAUUCUGCAGACGUGGCCUUGAACAAAACAACAAACUCCUCAUUCUCAAAGAACGUAUAUCCUUGGGGUGGGGGGAGACAGACAUGUCGUGUUGCAGGAGGUCAUAAGUGGUCCAAGAAAAAUAAAUCCCAAUAUCGGGGCUUGGUAAUGCAUACCUGUAAUCCCAGCUACUCAGAAGGCUGAGGAAAAAAGAUUGCAAGUUCCAGACCAGCCAGGGAAACUUAGUGAGGCCCCAUCUCAAAAUAAAAAUAAAAACGGCUACCAAGACCUGUCAUGUAAAGGUACAAGAUCCCAAUAAUGAAUGUAACUGUACUGUAUACCUAAAAUGGACCAAUAAACUCAACGAGGAAAAAAAUAAUAAUAAAAAAUAAAAAUAAAAACGGCUACCAAGACCUGUCAUGUAAAGGUACAAGAUCCCAAUAAUGAAUGUAACUGUACUGUAUACCUAAAAUGGACCAAUAAACUCAACGAGG